CAGGCCGGCCGGGCGGUCGCGCCCUGCCUCGCGCAGGGUGAGGAAAGUCCGGACUCCACAGGGCACGGUGCUGGGUAACACCCAGACGGGGUAACCCGUGGACAGGGCCACAGAAACAGACCGCCAGCGGGAGGGGCCUUGGGGUCCCUCUGCGGGCAAGGGUGAAAAGGUGGUGUAAGAGACCACCGGCGCGCUGGGUGACCGGCGCGGCCAGGCAACCCCCACCGGGAGCAAGGCCAAGCAGGGGGGAAGCGCGGUCGGCUCGGCCGGUCGCGCGGGAGGCGGCCCGUCUCCCUGGACCCCCGGGUGGGCCGCAUGAGGCGGCGGGCAACCGCCGUCCCAGAUAGAUGACCGCCACCCCGACCUCCGUCGGGGGACAGAAUCCGGCUUACAGGCCGACCUGGGCU
Molecule: RNase P RNA, 407 nt
Filed under: Chloroflexota bacterium
Lineage: Bacteria; Bacillati; Chloroflexota
Description: Chloroflexi bacterium RNase P RNA component class A
Rfam family: Bacterial RNase P class A
About the family: Ribonuclease P (RNase P) is a ubiquitous endoribonuclease, found in archaea, bacteria and eukarya as well as chloroplasts and mitochondria. Its best characterised activity is the generation of mature 5'-ends of tRNAs by cleaving the 5'-leader elements of precursor-tRNAs.
Source: RNAcentral